Molecule: non-coding RNA, 77 nt
Organism: Cucumis melo (muskmelon)
Lineage: Eukaryota; Viridiplantae; Streptophyta; Magnoliopsida; Cucurbitales; Cucurbitaceae
Source: Rfam
UAAAGCCGUGUGCAAUGAAAAUGCAAGCACGGUUUGGGAGGGUAUUUUACUUAUUUUAAGUAAAUUAUCGACUCCAU